Molecule: small nuclear RNA, 266 nt
Filed under: Spermophilus dauricus (Daurian ground squirrel)
Lineage: Eukaryota; Metazoa; Chordata; Mammalia; Rodentia; Sciuridae
Description: 7SK RNA (ENSSDAG00000000115.1)
Rfam family: 7SK RNA
About the family: 7SK was discovered as an abundant small nuclear RNA in the mid-70s but a possible function has only recently been suggested.
Source: Rfam by way of RNAcentral
GGACGUGAGGGUAACAUCUGUCAUCCCAUUGAUUGCCAGGGCGGAUUUGGCUGAUCUCCUCCCUCACAGCUGUCUGUGUAUCCCUCCCAAAGCUGCACACUUGGCCCAAGAGGACAAACUACCCUGAUAGAGAAGUUCUUUACAGGAGCAGCUGAGCUCCCCAGAGAACCUCUAGACAAGCUCUCAAGAAACAAGGGGCUGGAGAUUGAGCUGUGCUGUUACUCCACUGCCCUCCUGGUGGGCCCCUCCUCUUCGAGGGCCCAGCA